GUGCUCACUUCGGCAGCACGUAUACUAAAAUUGGAAUGAUACAGAGAAGAUUAGCAUGGCCCCUGCGCACAGAUGACACGAAU
This 83-nucleotide small nuclear RNA is filed under the name Tupaia belangeri (northern tree shrew). The record is from RNAcentral. Lineage: Eukaryota; Metazoa; Chordata; Mammalia; Scandentia; Tupaiidae.